UGGACUUCAGCUCAAGUGGCUGAAUUGAUCA
Molecule: non-coding RNA, 31 nt
Filed under: Mus musculus (house mouse)
Lineage: Eukaryota; Metazoa; Chordata; Mammalia; Rodentia; Muridae
Source: RNAcentral